RNAcentral lists this ribosomal RNA (440 nucleotides) under uncultured bacterium. RNAcentral's name for it is "partial 16S ribosomal RNA". It matches the Rfam family "Bacterial small subunit ribosomal RNA", at positions 338 to 795 of the family's 1533-position model. The record is from RNAcentral.
CCUACGAGUGGCUGCAGUGGGGAAUAUUGCACAAUGGGGGAAACCCUGAUGCAGCGACGCCGCGUGAGUGAAGAAGUAGUUCGGUAUGUAAAGCUCUAUAAGAAGGGAAGAAAAUGACGGUACAUGAUAAAGAAGAUCCGGCUAACUACGUGCCAGAAGCCGCGGUAAUACGUAGGGGGCAAACGUUAUCAGGAUUUACUGGGUGUAAAGGGAGCGUAGACGGCAGCAGAAGUCUGUAGUGAAAUGCCGGGGCUUAACCCCGUAACUGCUUUGGAAACUGUGCAGCUAGAGUUCAGGAGAGGUAAGUGUAAUUCCUAGUGUAGCGGUGAAAUGCGUAGAUAUUAGGAGGAACACCAGUGGCGGAGGCGGCUUACUGGACUGUAACUGACGUUGAGGCUCGAAAGCGUGGGGAGCAAACAGGAUUAGAUACCCCAGUAGUC